Molecule: ribosomal RNA, 466 nt
Filed under: uncultured bacterium
Lineage: Bacteria
Description: partial 16S ribosomal RNA
Rfam family: Bacterial small subunit ribosomal RNA
Source: RNAcentral
GACGAACGCUGGCGGCGCGCCUAACACAUGCAAGUCGAACGAGCGAGAGAGAGCUUGCUUUCUCGAGCGAGUGGCGAACGGGUGAGUAACGCGUGAGGAACCUGCCUCAAAGAGGGGGACAACAGUUGGAAACGACUGCUAAUACCGCAUAAGCCCCCGGUGCCGCAUGGCACAGAGGGAAAAGGAGCAAUCCGCUUUGAGAUGGCCUCGCGUCCGAUUAGCUAGUUGGUGAGGUAAUGGCCCACCAAGGCGACGAUCGGUAGCCGGACUGAGAGGUUGAACGGCCACAUUGGGACUGAGACACGGCCCAGACUCCUACGGGAGGCAGCAGUGGGGAAUAUUGCACGAUGGAGGAAACCCUGAUGCAGCGACGCCGCGUGGAGGAAGAAGGUCGUCGGAUUGUAAACUCCUGUUGUUGGGGAAGAUAAUGACGGUACCCAACAAGGAAGUGACGGCUAACUACGUG